CUAAGAAUCUUCCGCAAUGGGGGAAACCCUGACGGAGCGACGCCGCGUGGACGAUGGAGGCCGUAAGGUUGUAAAGUCCUUUUCCUGGUGAAGAAUAGCCUGAGGAGUGGAAAGCCUCGGGGAUGACGUUAGCCAGGGAAUAAGCCCCGGCCAAUUACGUGCCAGCAGCCGCGGUAAUACGUAUGGGGCAAGCGUUGUUCGGAGUUAUUGGGCGUAAAGGGCGUGUAGGCGGCUCAUCAAGUCUGGUGUGAAAAUGCAGGGCUUAACCCUGCAAAUGCGCUGGAAACUGGUGGGCUUGAGUUCCUGAGGGGAAGCUGGAAUUCCAGGUGUAGGAGUGAAAUCUGUAGAUAUCUGGAAGAACACCGGUGGCGAAGGCGAGCUUCUAUCAGAGGACUGACGCUGAGGCGCGAAAGCGUGGGGAGCAAACAGG
This 430-nucleotide ribosomal RNA is filed under the name uncultured Spirochaeta sp. Its description in RNAcentral is "bacterial SSU rRNA". It matches the Rfam family "Bacterial small subunit ribosomal RNA", at positions 355 to 776 of the family's 1533-position model. Lineage: Bacteria; Pseudomonadati; Spirochaetota; Spirochaetia; Spirochaetales; Spirochaetaceae. The record is from RNAcentral.